Molecule: ribosomal RNA, 920 nt
Filed under: Kushneria indalinina
Lineage: Bacteria; Pseudomonadati; Pseudomonadota; Gammaproteobacteria; Oceanospirillales; Halomonadaceae
Description: bacterial SSU rRNA
Rfam family: Bacterial small subunit ribosomal RNA
Source: RNAcentral
UGCUACCCGCUGACGAGCGGCGGACGGGUGAGUAAUGCAUGGGAAUCUGCCCGGUAGUGGGGGAUAACUCGGGGAAACCCGAGCUAAUACCGCAUACGUCCUACGGGAGAAAGCAGGGGAUCUUCGGACCUUGCGCUAUCGGAUGAGCCCAUGUCGGAUUAGCUUGUUGGUGAGGUAACGGCUCACCAAGGCGACGAUCCGUAGCUGGUCUGAGAGGAUGAUCAGCCACACCGGGACUGAGACACGGCCCGGACUCCUACGGGAGGCAGCAGUGGGGAAUAUUGGACAAUGGGGGGAACCCUGAUCCAGCCAUGCCGCGUGUGUGAAGAAGGCCUUCGGGUUGUAAAGCACUUUCAGUGGGGAAGAAGGCAUGAUGAUUAAUACUCGUCAUGAAGGACAUCACCCACAGAAGAAGCACCGGCUAACUCCGUGCCAGCAGCCGCGGUAAUACGGAGGGUGCAAGCGUUAAUCGGAAUUACUGGGCGUAAAGGGCGCGUAGGCGGCUUGCCAAGCCGGAUGUGAAAGCCCCGGGCUCAACCCGGGAACGGCAUUCGGAACUGGCAGGCUAGAGUGCAGGAGAGGAAGGUGGAAUUCCCGGUGUAGCGGUGAAAUGCGUAGAGAUCGGGAGGAAUACCAGUGGCGAAGGCGGCCUUCUGGACUGACACUGACGCUGAGGCGCGAAAGCGUGGGUAGCAAACAGGAUUAGAUACCCUGGUAGUCCACGCCGUAAACGAUGUCGACCAGCCGUUGGACCCCUUGAGGGUUUGGUGGCGCAGUUAACGCAAUAAGUCGACCGCCUGGGGAGUACGGCCGCAAGGCUAAAACUCAAAUGAAUUGACGGGGGCCCGCACAAGCGGUGGAGCAUGUGGUUUAAUUCGAUGCAACGCGAAGAACCUUACCUGCUCUUGACAUCCUGCGAA